AUGACAAAGAAAAGAAGGAACAAUGGUCGUGCCAAAAAGGGCUGUGGCCAUGUGCAACCUAUUUAUUCGGUGCACAAACUGUGCCCGAUGCAUUCCCAAAGACAAAGCUAUAAAGAAGUUCGUCACUUGGAACGUAGUGGAAGCCGCAGCUAUAUGAGACAUUUCUGAAGCAUCUAAGCGUCUUCCACACCUAUGUGCUUUCCAAGCUCUAUGUGAAGCUACAUUACUGUGUGAGUUUUGCUAGUCACAGCGAGGUAGUCAGGAACCACUCCUGGGAAGCCUGCAAGGACCGAACACCUCCACCCAGAUUUAGACCCGCGGGUGCUGCCCCACGACCUCCACCAAAGCCCAUGUAAGGAGGUGAGUUCUUGAGGACUGAAGAAUAACUAUCCUUUGGGAAAAAAUAAAAUGGAAAUUAUACUU
Molecule: RNA transcript, 423 nt
Organism: Otolemur garnettii (small-eared galago)
Lineage: Eukaryota; Metazoa; Chordata; Mammalia; Primates; Galagidae
Gene name: 40S ribosomal protein S26-like
Exons: 1
Source: RefSeq, a predicted model, not a curated record